This 253-nucleotide ribosomal RNA is filed under the name uncultured bacterium. RNAcentral describes it as "partial 16S ribosomal RNA". It matches the Rfam family "Bacterial small subunit ribosomal RNA", at positions 524 to 776 of the family's 1533-position model. The record is from RNAcentral.
UACGAAGGGGGCUAGCGUUGCUCGGAAUUACUGGGCGUAAAGCGCACGUAAGCGGCUUGUUAAGUCAGGGGUGAAAUCCUGGAGCUCAACUCCAGAACUGCCUUUGAUACUGGCGAGCUUGAGUUCGGGAGAGGUGAGUGGAACUGCGAGUGUAGAGGUGAAAUUCGUGGAUAUUCGCAAGAACACCAGUGGCGAAGGCGGCUCACUGGCCCGAUACUGACGCUGAGGUGCGAAAGCGUGGGGAGCAAACAGG